UACCAGCUCUUCGAGUGGUGUGGAUGUUUAUUGGGCCUAAAGCAUCCGUAGCUGGCUGGGCAAGUCCCCUGUUAAAUCCACCGAUUUAAUCGUUGGAGUGCGGGGGAUACUGUUCGGCUAGGGGACGGGAGAGGCAGACGGUAUUUUCGGGGUAGGGGUGAAAUCCUAUAAUCCCGGGAAGACCACCAGUGGCGAAGGCUGUCUGCUAGAACGCGCCCGACGGUGAGGGAUGAAAGCGUGGGGGAGCGAACCGGAUUAGAUACCCGGGUAGUCCCAGCUGUAAACGAUGCAGGCUAGGUGUUUGGGCGGCCACGGGCCGCUCUAGUGCCGCAGGGAAGCUGUUAAGCCUGCCGCCUGGGGAGUACGGCCGCAAGGCUGAAACUUAAAGGAAUUGGGCGGGGGAGCACCACGAAGGGGUGAAGCUUGCGGUUU
RNAcentral lists this ribosomal RNA (432 nucleotides) under uncultured archaeon. RNAcentral's name for it is "bacterial SSU rRNA". It matches the Rfam family "Archaeal small subunit ribosomal RNA", at positions 474 to 903 of the family's 1478-position model. The record is from RNAcentral.